This 354-nucleotide ribosomal RNA is filed under the name uncultured Acidobacteriota bacterium. RNAcentral describes it as "bacterial SSU rRNA". It matches the Rfam family "Bacterial small subunit ribosomal RNA", at positions 513 to 867 of the family's 1533-position model. Lineage: Bacteria; Pseudomonadati; Acidobacteriota. The record is from RNAcentral.
AGCCGCGGUAAUACGUACGCCGCGAGCGUUGCUCGGAAUUACUGGGCGUAAAGAGUGCGUAGGCGGUGCUCUAAGUCCGGUGUGAAAUCUCCGGGCUCAACUCGGAGGGUGCGCCGGAAACUGGAGUGCUUGAGUGUGGGAGAGGAGAGUGGAAUUCCUGGUGUAGCGGUGAAAUGCGUAGAUAUCAGGAGGAACACCUGUGGUGAAAGCGGCUUUCUGGACCAUUACUGACGCUGAGACACGAAAGCGUGGGGAGCAAACAGGAUUAGAUACCCUGGUAGUCCACGCCCUAAACGAUGCAUACUUGGUGUCGGCCGUUCAGUUGGUCGGUGCCGGAGCUAACGCGUUAAAUAU